AAUGGCACAAACAUACGUACAAUGAGGAUUAUCAGAAGGGUGAAAAUAAAAAUAUUAAGAACUGAAUUUUUAUUUGCAUGUAGGUUUUUUAAAGCUUUGACUAUAUCUAUCUCAGUUAUCCGCUUCUUUCUAACUUGUUCUUUCAUUAAUUUCCCUGGUAUUUAUUAAUUCAAUCUAGAAAACGUUGACGCAGUCUUCCUCUAGUUCAUGUCUUAUAUUUGGAUUUCUAACCACUGAAUCAUGAAAGUUUAAUCAUUGAAAUUUUUGUCAAUAUUCGCGUUAGUUCUUCCUUCAUAGUACCCUAUUUCCGUAUAAUGUACAGAUCAGUAUACUCUUUUAAGAACUUCGUUUUCAAAUUGUAAUUAUUUUGUCUCAUCAAGUUAGUCAUAACAGACAACGGUUAAUAUUCCAAGCAAAGUAUUAUGAAUAUUUUAAAUAUACAUUUUUUCAUAAGUUUAGUAUUCAAUACUGUUUUCCGAACAGUUUUAAAAAGACGUCCUGG
Non-coding RNA from Cinara cedri, 502 nucleotides. The record is from the annotation of a GenBank genome assembly. Lineage: Eukaryota; Metazoa; Arthropoda; Insecta; Hemiptera; Aphididae.